AGCGAACGCUGGCGGCAGGCUUAACACAUGCAAGUCGAGCGGGCGUAGCAAUACGUCAGCGGCAGACGGGUGAGUAACGCGUGGGAACAUACCUUUUGGUCGGAACAACACAGGGAAACUUGUGCUAAUACCGGAUAAGCCCUUACGGGGAAAGAUUUAUCGCCGAAAGAUUGGCCCGCGUCUGAUUAGCUAGUUGGUGAGGUAACGGCUCACCAAGGCGACGAUCAGUAGCNGGUCUGAGAGGAUGAUCAGCCACAUUGGGACUGAGACACGGCCCAAACUCCUACGGGAGGCAGCAGUGGGGAAUAUUGGACAAUGGGCGAAAGCCUGAUCCAGCCAUGCCGCGUGAGUGAAGAAGGCCUGCGGGUUGUAAAGCACUUUAGGUGGGGAGAAAAGGCUGUAUGUU
RNAcentral lists this ribosomal RNA (406 nucleotides) under uncultured bacterium. RNAcentral's name for it is "bacterial SSU rRNA". It matches the Rfam family "Bacterial small subunit ribosomal RNA", at positions 29 to 461 of the family's 1533-position model. The record is from RNAcentral.